Molecule: transfer RNA, 363 nt
Filed under: uncultured Microcystis sp.
Lineage: Bacteria; Bacillati; Cyanobacteriota; Cyanophyceae; Chroococcales; Microcystaceae
Description: partial 16S-23S ribosomal RNA intergenic spacer
Rfam family: tRNA (bases 135-208)
Source: RNAcentral
AAGGGAGACCUAAUUCAGGUAGGAGACGAAAAAAAAGUAGUCGCUACCAAGAAUCAAUCCCAAAAGGUCGGAGCGAGGCGAAAUUGGCUUUCAAGCUAGGUUCUGGGUUCACACAAGACCUGAAUCAGGAACAAGGGCUAUUAGCUCAGGUGGUUAGAGCGCACCCCUGAUAAGGGUGAGGUCCCUGGUUCGAGUCCAGGAUGGCCCACCUGUACAGGUGGCAAAAAGAAAGAAAAGAAGCGAGGAAUCAGCACCUUAUCUUACUGACAUAGUAAGAGAGAAUGCUGGCUCUGAGUAAAGAGUCCAGAGGAACCUUGAAAACUGCAUAGAGCUAGGUGAAAAAGCCAAAAAAGAAGACCGCAA